This 251-nucleotide unclassified non-coding RNA is filed under the name Hevea brasiliensis (rubber tree). Lineage: Eukaryota; Viridiplantae; Streptophyta; Magnoliopsida; Malpighiales; Euphorbiaceae. The record is from RNAcentral.
CUUUAACUGAAUUUCUUUUUGCUAUGGUUAAAGAUGAAGACCUUAAAGAAUGUUUUCUAGGGAACAAUGAAGGUCAUGCCAUGGAAAUUUCAAUGGUGCUUGAGGAAAAACAAUCCACGGAUAUAAUUAUUGAGAUCGAAGAAACUCAAAUCAUAAAGUUGAUGGAAGUUGAAGAUUUAUUUGACCCUUCAAUUCCAAUUGUUUUUUUGAUUCUAUUUGUCCAGGUGUUCUCAUAGAUACAAACAAAAACA